This 21-nucleotide non-coding RNA is filed under the name Caenorhabditis elegans. The record is from RNAcentral. Lineage: Eukaryota; Metazoa; Nematoda; Chromadorea; Rhabditida; Rhabditidae.
UGCAUGGUUCUGCUUUAGACG